GAUGAACGCUGGCGGCGUGCCUAAUACAUGCAAGUCGAGCGAACGGACGAGAAGCUUGCUUCUCUGAUGUUAGCGGCGGACGGGUGAGUAACACGUGGAUAACCUACCUAUAAGACUGGGAUAACUUCGGGAAACCUGAGCUAAUACCGGAUGAUAUUUUUAACCUCAUGGUUCAAAAGUGAAAGACGGUCUUGCUGUCACUUAUAGAUGGAUCCGCGCUGCAUUAGCUAGUUGGUAAGGUAACGGCUUACCAAGGCAACGAUGCAUAGCCGACCUGAGAGGGUGAUCGGACACACUGGAACUGAGACACGGUCAAGACGCCUACGGGAGGCAGCAGUAGGGAAUCUUACGCAAUGGGCGAAAGCAUGACGGAGCAACGCCGCGUGAGUGAUGAAGGUCUGCGGAUCGUAAAACUCUGUUAUUAGGGAAGAACAUAUGUGUAAGUAACUGUGCACAUAUUGACGGUACCUAAUCAGAAAGCAACGGCUAACUACGUG
Molecule: ribosomal RNA, 497 nt
Filed under: uncultured bacterium
Lineage: Bacteria
Description: partial 16S ribosomal RNA
Rfam family: Bacterial small subunit ribosomal RNA
Source: RNAcentral